UGGGGAAUAUUGGACAAUGGGCGCAAGCCUGAUCCAGCCAUGCCGCGUGAGUGAUGAAGGCCCUAGGGUUGUAAAGCUCUUUCACCGGUGAAGAUAAUGACGGUAACCGGAGAAGAAGCCCCGGCUAACUUCGUGCCAGCAGCCGCGGUAAUACGAGGGGGGCUAGCGUUGUUCGGAUUUACUGGGCGUAAAGCGCACGUAGGCGGACUUUUAAGUCAGGGGUGAAAUCCCGGGGCUCAACCCCGGAACUGCCUUUGAUACUGGAAGUCUUGAGUAUGGUAGAGGUGAGUGGAAUUCCGAGUGUAGAGGUGAAAUUCGUAGAUAUUCGGAGGAACACCAGUGGCGAAGGCGGCUCACUGGACCAUUACUGACGCUGAGGUGCGAAAGCGUGGGGAGCAAACAGG
RNAcentral lists this ribosomal RNA (404 nucleotides) under Pseudomonas sp. RNAcentral's name for it is "partial 16S ribosomal RNA". It matches the Rfam family "Bacterial small subunit ribosomal RNA", at positions 355 to 776 of the family's 1533-position model. The record is from RNAcentral. Lineage: Bacteria; Pseudomonadati; Pseudomonadota; Gammaproteobacteria; Pseudomonadales; Pseudomonadaceae. RNAcentral also lists the same sequence under 3 other names.